AACGCACAUUGCGCCCCUUGGUAUUCCGAGGGGCAUGCCUGUUCGAGCGUCAUUAUAACCACUCAAGCCUGGCUUGGUAUUGGGGUUCGCGGGUUCGCGGCCCUUAAAAUCAGUGGCGGUGCCGUCGUGCUCUAAGCGUAGUAAAUCUCUCGCUCUUGGGUCCCGGCGGUUGCUUGCCAAAACCCCCCUAUUUUCUCAGGUUGACCUCGGAUCAGGUAGGGAUACCCGCUGAACUUAA
This 238-nucleotide unclassified non-coding RNA is filed under the name uncultured fungus. RNAcentral describes it as "sequence contains ITS2". The stretch from base 1 to 52 matches the Rfam family "5.8S ribosomal RNA", at positions 103 to 154 of the family's 154-position model. The record is from RNAcentral. Lineage: Eukaryota; Fungi.